GGAUGUGAGGGUGAUCUGGCUGUGACAUCUGUCACCCCAUUGAUCGCCAGGGUUGAUUCAGCUGAUCUGGCUGGCUAGGCGGGUGUCCCUUUCCUCCCUCAACGAUUCAUGUAUGUCCCUCCCGAAGCUGCGCACUCAGUCAAAGAGGACGACCACUCCCGAAAGAGGAGGACCGUUGCUCGGUCAAGGGUAUAUGAGUAGCUGCGCUCCCCUGCUAGAACCUCCAAACAAGCUCUCAAAUCCAGGACUCCCCACUGCCAUGGAGAGAGAGGAUAAGGGUCCUCUCUCUCUGCCUCCUCCCACUGCAUCCUAAGUGGCUGAGAUGCUGAGAUGAGGUG
RNAcentral lists this small nuclear RNA (338 nucleotides) under Octodon degus (degu). RNAcentral's name for it is "7SK RNA (ENSODEG00000022846.1)". It matches the Rfam family "7SK RNA". Rfam says of the family: 7SK was discovered as an abundant small nuclear RNA in the mid-70s but a possible function has only recently been suggested. Two independent studies have found that 7SK RNA binds the CDK9/cyclin T complex (known as elongation factor P-TEFb). The record is from RNAcentral. Lineage: Eukaryota; Metazoa; Chordata; Mammalia; Rodentia; Octodontidae.